RNAcentral lists this ribosomal RNA (508 nucleotides) under uncultured Glomeromycotina. Its description in RNAcentral is "SSU rRNA". It matches the Rfam family "Eukaryotic small subunit ribosomal RNA", at positions 569 to 1078 of the family's 1831-position model. The record is from RNAcentral. Lineage: Eukaryota; Fungi; Glomeromycota.
AGCAGCCGCGGUAAUUCCAGCUCCAAUAGCGUAUAUUAAAGUUGUUGCAGUUAAAAAGCUCGUAGUUGAAUUUCGGGGUUAGCAGGUCGGUCGUGCCUUUGGUAUGAACUGGUCUCGCUGAUCCCUCCCUCUUGACGAACUGUGAUGCCAUUAAUUUGGUGUCGCAGGGAAUCAGGACUGUUACUUUGAAAAAAUUAGAGUGUUUAAAGCAGGCUUUCGCUUGAAUACAUUAGCAUGGAAUAAUGAAAUAGGACGUUUGAUCCUAUUUUGUUGGUUUCUAGGAUUGACGUAAUGAUUAAUAGGGAUAGUUGGGGGCAUUAGUAUUCAAUUGUCAGAGGUGAAAUUCUUGGAUUUAUUGAAGACUAACUACUGCGAAAGCAUUUGCCAAGGAUGUUUUCAUUAAUCAAGAACGAAAGUUAGGGGAUCGAAGACGAUCAGAUACCGUCGUAGUCUUAACCAUAAACUAUGCCGACUAGGGAUCGGAUGAUGUUAAUUUUUUAAUGACUCA